This 690-nucleotide long non-coding RNA is filed under the name Olea europaea (common olive). RNAcentral describes it as "long non-coding RNA (OEUR_LNC004966)". Lineage: Eukaryota; Viridiplantae; Streptophyta; Magnoliopsida; Lamiales; Oleaceae. The record is from RNAcentral.
UUUGAAAGUGGAGGGAAGAGAAUUGUAGAGGGAAUAAAAAUCAUAAGAUUGUCUAUUGGGUAUCUAAAUAUUAAAAAAAAAAGAAAAAAGAAUUGAUUGGAGACUGAGACUGUCAAAGUAUUAGAUUAAGGACUUACUUGUUAUAUUUUCAAAUAGUUUGGUGACUUCAUCUGUAAUAUAAUGUCUUCAAUUAUACUUUCAGCUUUUUAACUUGUUGCAAUACCCAAUAUAUUGGAUUGAUAGAGGUGACUUUUGACUGUGAUUUGUACUAAUUGGAUUGGCGAUGGCUGCUCGGAGAAUCUCAUCUCUUCUCUCUCGCUCGCUUCCUUUGCUACCUCGAAGAGGUAUAUGGAUAAAACUAUUGUCUAUGUAAAUACUUAUCUGUGAUUAUUCUGAGAAAAUCUUGGUCUUCUUUAUUGUCUGGAGUGUUCUUUGGUUGGUUUAAGUCAGUAACUUGUUGGUUUAGGAGCUUUUUUUUAAGUUUUUAGUUUUCUAGUCUUGUAGACUAUACUUGAUUAAAAUUGCCUGAGCUUUUGAGUGUCUGAAAAUGGUGGAUGUGUUUUCACUUUGUUGGAAAUUGUUUUGGUGUUUAAUAGCAGUUAAAUGAUACGUGAUAUGCAGAUUACUGAGACCAUCUCUAGCACUGUAUCAAAAUUUGCACCAAACCAAAAUUUAUCUAUUAUUUUAUUC